Molecule: ribosomal RNA, 286 nt
Filed under: uncultured bacterium
Lineage: Bacteria
Description: partial 16S ribosomal RNA
Rfam family: Bacterial small subunit ribosomal RNA
Source: RNAcentral
AAUGAACGCUGGCGGCGCGCCUAAUACAUGCAAGUCGAGCGAGAAGACGUAGCAAUACGUUUGUAAAGCGGCGAACGGGUGAGGAAUACAUGGGUAACCUACCCUAGAGUGGGGAAUAACUAGCCGAAAGGUUAGCUAAUACCGCGUACGCUCCUUGGACUUCGGUUCAGGGAGGAAAGCGAUACCGAGGGUAUCGCGCUCUUGGAUGGGCUCAUGUCCUAUCAGCUUGNGGUGAGGUAACGGCUCACCAAGGCUUCGACGGGUAGCUGGUCUGAGAGGACGAUCA